GUAAUUCAAAAGUAAAAAACUUAUGAAGAAUCACAUGUCUCAUGAUUAGUGUUAUAAAGAAAAAAGAAAGCAUGCAUACAGGAAUAUCCACAUAAGCAAUUUUGCAAUGCCAAGUGAGUACACCUAUGUGAAACUGAGAAGUGACUGCUCGAGGCCUUCCCUGCAAUGGUACACCCGAGCUCAAAGCAAGAUGAGAAGGCCCAGCUUGUUAUUAAAAGACAUCCUCAAAUGUACAUUGCUUGUGUUUGGAGUGUGGAUCCUUUAUAUCCUCAAGUUAAAUUAUACUACUGAAGAAUGUGACAUGAAAAAAAUGCAUUAUGUGGACCCUGACCGUGUAAAGAGAGCUCAGACAUAUGCUCAGCAAGUCUUGCAGAAGGAAUGUCGUCCCAAGUUUGCCAAGACAUCAAUGGCGCUGUUAUUUGAGCACAGGUAUAGCGUGGACUUACUCCCUUUUGUGCAGAAGGCCCCCAAAGACAGUGAAGCUGAGUCCAAGUACGAUCCUCCUUUUGGGUUCCGGAAGUUCUCCAGUAAAGUCCAGACCCUCUUGGAACUCUUGCCAGAGCACGACCUCCCUGAACACUUGAAAGCCAAGACCUGUCGGCGCUGUGUGGUUAUUGGAAGCGGAGGAAUACUGCACGGAUUAGAACUGGGCCACACCCUGAACCAGUUCGAUGUUGUGAUAAGAGUGUUGAUUUCAACUGGCUUCAAGCAAUGGUAAAAAAUGAAACCCUGCCAUUCUGGGUACGACUCUUCUUUUGGAAGCAGGUGGCAGAAAAAAUCCCACUGCAGCCAAAACAUUUCAGGAUUUUGAAUCCAGUUAUCAUCAAAGAGACUGCCUUUGACAUCCUUCAGUACUCAGAGCCUCAGUCAAGGUUCUGGGGCCGAGAUAAGAACGUCCCCACAAUCGGUGUCAUUGCCGUUGUCUUAGCCACACAUCUGUGCGAUGAAGUCAGUUUGGCGGGUUUUGGAUAUGACCUCAGUCAACCCAGAACACCUUUGCACUACUUCGACAAUCAGUGCAUGGCUGCUAUGAACUUUCAGACCAUGCAUAAUGUGACAACGGAAACCAAGUUCCUCUUAAAGCUGGUCAAAGAGGGAGUGGUGAAAGAUCUCAGCGGAGGCAUUGAUCGUGAAUUCUGAACAUAGAAAACCUCAGUUGAAAAUGCAACUCUAACUCUGAGAGCUGUUUUUGACAGCCUUCUUGAUGUAUUUCUCCAUCCUGCAGAUACUUUGAAGUGCAGCUGAAGUUUUUAACUUUUAAUUUAAAAACACACAAAAAAUUUUAGCUCUUCCCACUUUUUUUUCCCUAUUUAUUUGAGGUCAGUGUUUGUUUUUGCACACCAUUUUGUAUAUGAAACUUAAGAAUUGAAUUGGAAAGACUUCUCAAAGAGAAUUGUAUGUAACGAUGUUGUAUUGAUUUUUAAGAAAGUAAUUUAAUUUGUAAAACUUCUGUUCGUUUACACUGCACAUUGAAUACAGGUAACUAAUUGGAAGGAGAGGGGAGGUCACUCUUUUGAUGGUGGCCCUGAACCUCAUUCUGGUUCCCUGCUGCGCUGCUUGGUGUGACCCACGGAGGAUCCACUCCCAGGAUGACGUGCUCCGUAGCUAUGCUGCUGAUACAGGGUCUGCGAUACAGUGGCGUG
This 1643-nucleotide small RNA is filed under the name Pan troglodytes (chimpanzee). RNAcentral describes it as "processed transcript". Lineage: Eukaryota; Metazoa; Chordata; Mammalia; Primates; Hominidae. The record is from RNAcentral.